GGGUUGACCCACUGUGGAUCAGCGCCACCAGCGUUCGUAAGGUCUGCGGCGUGUCCCACCCAGUUAGCGCUUGCAACGUCAUUUCCGCUUCUUCCACUCCAGUUGAUUCUUCUGACUCAUCAUCCUCGUCAUCCUCCUCCACCAUGAGAAGUAAUUGCGACUUUUGACACUUAUGGCCUGGAGUGUAUCUCUCGUCGCAGCUGAAACACAAGCCAAGACUUCUUUUACGCUUCAUCUCAUCCCAGCUCAA
RNAcentral lists this long non-coding RNA (250 nucleotides) under Brassica napus (rape). RNAcentral's name for it is "long non-coding RNA (BNAP_LNC012540)". The record is from RNAcentral. Lineage: Eukaryota; Viridiplantae; Streptophyta; Magnoliopsida; Brassicales; Brassicaceae.